Molecule: ribosomal RNA, 498 nt
Filed under: uncultured bacterium
Lineage: Bacteria
Description: partial 16S ribosomal RNA
Rfam family: Bacterial small subunit ribosomal RNA
Source: RNAcentral
GAUGAACGCUAGCGGCAGGCCUAAUACAUGCGAGUCGGACGGGAUUGAGAAGCUUGCUUUUCAUGAGAGUGGCGCACGGGCGCGUAACACGUAUGUAACCUACCUUAAUAAGGGGGAUAGCCUCUAGAAAGAGAGAUUAACAUCGCAUAAAAUCAAUUUAUGGCAUCAUAGAAUGAUCAAAUAUUUAUAGGAUUAAGAUGGGCAUGCGGAAAAUUAGCUAGGUGGUAAGGUAACGGCUUACCAAGGCUACGAUGUUUAGGGGGUCUGAGAGAAGGACCACCGCCACUGUGACUGAAACACGGACCAGACGCCUACGGGAGGCAGCAGUAAGGAAUAUUGGUCAAUCGGCGCAAGCCUGAACCAGCCAUGCCGCGUGCAGGAAGACUGCCCUACGGGUUGUAAACUGCUUUUGUACCGGAAUAAACCUUUGUAUGUAGACGAAGCUGAAUGUACGGUAAGAAGAAGGAUCGUCUAACUCCGUGCCAGCAGCCGCCGUAA